This 745-nucleotide ribosomal RNA is filed under the name uncultured bacterium. RNAcentral's name for it is "bacterial SSU rRNA". It matches the Rfam family "Bacterial small subunit ribosomal RNA", at positions 40 to 772 of the family's 1533-position model. The record is from RNAcentral.
CUACAGGCUUAACACAUGCAAGUCGAGGGGAAACGACAUCGAAAGCUUGCUUUUGAUGGGCGUCGACCGGCGCACGGGUGAGUAACGCGUAUCCAACCUGCCCAUCACUUGGGGAUAACCUUGCGAAAGUAAGACUAAUACCCAAUGACGUCUCUAGAAGACAUCUGAAAGAGAUUAAAGAUUUAUCGGUGAUGGAUGGGGAUGCGUCUGAUUAGCUUGUUGGCGGGGUAACGGCCCACCAAGGCAACGAUCAGUAGGGGUUCUGAGAGGAAGGUCCCCCACAUUGGAACUGAGACACGGUCCAAACUCCUACGGGAGGCAGCAGUGAGGAAUAUUGGUCAAUGGGCGAGAGCCUGAACCAGCCAAGUAGCGUGCAGGAUGACGGCCCUAUGGGUUGUAAACUGCUUUUAUAAGGGAAUAAAGUGAGUCUCGUGAGACUUUUUGCAUGUACCUUAUGAAUAAGGACCGGCUAAUUCCGUGCCAGCAGCCGCGGUAAUACGGAAGGUCCGGGCGUUAUCCGGAUUUAUUGGGUUUAAAGGGAGCGUAGGCCGGAGAUUAAGCGUGUUGUGAAAUGUAGACGCUCAACGUCUGCACUGCAGCGCGAACUGGUUUCCUUGAGUACGCACAAAGUGGGCGGAAUUCGUGGUGUAGCGGUGAAAUGCUUAGAUAUCACGAAGAACUCCGAUUGCGAAGGCAGCUCACUGGAGCGCAACUGACGCUGAAGCUCGAAAGUGCGGGUAUCGAA